Long non-coding RNA from Dermacentor silvarum, 465 nucleotides. RefSeq lists it as uncharacterized. NCBI's taxonomy places the organism in Eukaryota, Metazoa, Arthropoda, Arachnida, Ixodida, Ixodidae. The record is from RefSeq and is a predicted model, not a curated record. The transcript is spliced from 3 exons.
CCUCCGUCAUAUGGGAACUGCAGCAAGAAAAUUCAGUCUUGGUAUUAUCACCCAAACACGAGGAACUGCAGGAUGUUCACCUAUACAGGUUGUGGUGGAAACGACAACCGUUUCACUUCAGAGACGUCGUGCCAAUGGUAUUGCCUACCAUCAAACAAACUGAAAAAAGCUGUUUGCAGCCGACACAGACACGCGGAAAAGUGCAAUGGCCGAACGGAGCGAUGGUACUUUGACAGCAUGAACAACACCUGCCAUGAAUUUAAAGACGGGUAUUGUGGGCUUGUCCCGAAUAGGUUCCGUAGCUGUGAGGAGUGCUUCACGAGAUGCAGCGAUGCUGAUCCAAACGUUAUAUGCGCUGCUCCUACUAACACAAGAAAUGCAUAGUAAGCAGCUACUUCUUACCGAUGUUCCAGGACACUUUCCCAGUGCCUUAUUCGAAGAGCAUCAUCACUUUCAGCCAAAACU